UGGGGAAUAUUGCACAAUGGGCGCAAGCCUGAUGCAGCCAUGCCGCGUGUAUGAAGAAGGCCUUCGGGUUGUAAAGUACUUUCAGCGGGGAGGAAGGGAGUAAAGUUAAUACCUUUGCUCAUUGACGUUACCCGCAGAAGAAGCACCGGCUAACUCCGUGCCAGCAGCCGCGGUAAUACGGAGGGUGCAAGCGUUAAUCGGAAUUACUGGGCGUAAAGCGCACGCAGGCGGUUUGUUAAGUCAGAUGUGAAAUCCCCGGGCUCAACCUGGGAACUGCAUCUGAUACUGGCAAGCUUGAGUCUCGUAGAGGGGGGUAGAAUUCCAGGUGUAGCGGUGAAAUGCGUAGAUAUCUGGAGGAAUACCGGUGGCGAAGGCGGCCCCCUGGACGAAGACUGACGCUCAGGUGCGAAAGCGUGGGGAGCAAACAGG
Molecule: ribosomal RNA, 429 nt
Filed under: Chloroflexota bacterium
Lineage: Bacteria; Bacillati; Chloroflexota
Description: Chloroflexi bacterium partial 16S ribosomal RNA
Rfam family: Bacterial small subunit ribosomal RNA
Source: RNAcentral